GCGGCAGGCUUAACACAUGCAAGUCGAGGGGCAGCAUGGUCUUAGCUUGCUAAGGCCGAUGGCGACCGGCGCACGGGUGAGUAACACGUAUCCAACCUGCCGUCUACUCUUGGACAGCCUUCUGAAAGGAAGAUUAAUACAAGAUGGCAUCAUGAGUCCGCAUGUUCACAUGAUUAAAGGUAUUCCGGUAGACGAUGGGGAUGCGUUCCAUUAGAUAGUAGGCGGGGUAACGGCCCACCUAGUCUUCGAUGGAUAGGGGUUCUGAGAGGAAGGUCCCCCACAUUGGAACUGAGACACGGUCCAAACUCCUACGGGAGGCAGCAGUGAGGAAUAUUGGUCAAUGGGCGAGAGCCUGAACCAGCCAAGUAGCGUGAAGGAUGACUGCCCUAUGGGUUGUAAACUUCUUUUAUAAAGGAAUAAAGUCGGGUAUGGAUACCCGUUUGCAUGUACUUUAUGAAUAAGGAUCGGCUAACUCCGUGCCAGCAGCCGCGGUAAUACGGAGGAUCCGAGCGUUAUCCGGAUUUAUUGGGUUUAAAGGGAGCGUAGAUGGAUGUUUAAGUCAGUUGUGAAAGUUUGCGGCUCAACCGUAAAAUUGCAGUUGAUACUGGAUAUCUUGAGUGCAGUUGAGGCAGGCGGAAUUCGUGGUGUAGCGGUGAAAUGCUUAGAUAUCACGAAGAACUCCGAUUGCGAAGGCAGCCUGCUAAGCUGCAACUGACAUUGAGGCUCGAAAGUGUGGGUAUCAAACAGGAUUAGAUACCCUGGUAGUCCACACGGUAAACGAUGAAUACUCGCUGUUUGCGAUAUACUGCAAGCGGCCAAGCGAAAGCGUUAAGUAUUCCACCUGGGGAGUACGCCGGCAACGGUGAAACUCAAAGGAAUUGACGGGGGCCCGCACAAGCGGAGGAACAUGUGGUUUAAUUCGAUGAUACGCGAGGAACCUUACCCGGGCUUAAAUUGCAGAUGAAUUACGGUGAAAGCCGUAAGCCGCAAGGCAUCUGUGAAGGUGCUGCAUGGUUGUCGUCAGCUCGUGCCGUGAGGUGUCGGCUUAAGUGCCAUAACGAGCGCAACCCUUGUUGUCAGUUACUAACAGGUCAUGCUGAGGACUCUGACAAGACUGCCAUCGUAAGAUGUGAGGAAGGUGGGGAUGGCGUCAAAUCAGCACGGCCCUUACGUCCGGGGCUACACACGUGUUACAAUGGGGGGCACAGAGGGCCGCUACCACGCGAGUGGAUGCCAAUCCCAAAAACCUCUCUCAGUUCGGACUGGAGUCUGCAACCCGACUCCACGAAGCUGGAUUCGCUAGUAAUCGCGCAUCAGCCACGGCGCGGUGAAUACGUUCCCGGGCCUUGUACACACCGCCCGUCAAGCCAUGGGAGCCGGGGGUACCUGAAGUGCGUAACCGCGAGGAGCGCCCUAGGGUAAAACUGGUGACUGGGG
This 1437-nucleotide ribosomal RNA is filed under the name uncultured organism. RNAcentral describes it as "16S ribosomal RNA". It matches the Rfam family "Bacterial small subunit ribosomal RNA". The record is from RNAcentral.